GAUGAACGCUGGCGGCGUGCCUAAUACAUGCAAGUCGAGCGAACAGACGAGGAGCUUGCUCCUCUGACGUUAGCGGCGGACGUGUGUGUAACACGUGGAUAACCUACCUAUAAGUCUGGGAUCACUUCGGGAAACCGGAGCUAAUACCGGAUAAUAUCUUGAACCGCAUGGUUGAAUAGUGAAAGACGGUUUUGCUGUCACUUAUAGAUGGAUCCGCGCCGCAUUAGCUAGUUGGUACGGUAACGGCUUACCAAGGCGACGAUGCGUAGCCGACCUGCGAGGGUGAUCGGCCACACGAGAACUGAGACACGGUCCAGACGCCUACGGGAGGCAGCAGUAGGGAAUCUGCCGCAAUGGGCGAAAGCCUGACGGAGCAACGCCGCGUGAGUGAUGAAGGUCUUCGGAUCGUAAAACUCUGUUAUGAGGGAAGAACAAAUGUGUAAGUAACUAUGCACGUCUUGACGGUACCUAAUCAGAAAGCAACGGCUAACUACGUG
RNAcentral lists this ribosomal RNA (497 nucleotides) under uncultured bacterium. RNAcentral's name for it is "partial 16S ribosomal RNA". It matches the Rfam family "Bacterial small subunit ribosomal RNA", at positions 28 to 507 of the family's 1533-position model. The record is from RNAcentral.